GCGCUGGGGGCGGGGGGGUGUUGAGGAAAGGGGAGCAAGGCGGGAGAAGCGGACGGUUGGGCGCUGCAGGGACUCCUGGGAGAUGUAGUUCUGCGAGUAGUGCAUGACGCAUCCGGGUUCAAGGCCUUCUGGGAGUUGUGGUUUAUUGGGCUUUGGGCUCUGGUUGAGUUUCCUUGGUUGGAUGGCUUUUUAACAAUGGUGAGGGAUGCAGAGAUAAAUGAGAUAUCUACGGAUUACAGUUUUAAGUAGUGAAACUGCACCUGACCUUCAUGCGGCCUCUUCACCCCCUCAGAGUCUGUUUCCACUGACACACCUGGGAUAUAACACUUCUGUGACGAGAGAAAUGCACCAGAGACCUGCUGAUGGUGUUCUGGAGACUUCUUGUUGCUUCUGUAAACUCAGGCCGAUUGACAGAGAGAGAGCCUCGUGGUUUCUUCUGGAGCAAACUGUCACUGCUGAUUCAUGAAUGGUGUUUACGAGUGGAUUGAGCUACCGCUGCUGAUUUGUGUGACCUGAACUGCUGCUACCCUGACACUGAAGCAACUAAUGCUACAGCAACAACCAGCCAACAACCCUCCACCUCUCCGUGCCCUGGCAUUUAUCUACCCUCUGACAAGUCCUCAGAACUCCAAACUGUCACAUGAUCACAGAAACUAUCUGCAGCUGGCAAAAAUCCCCCCCUGCAAGGCUCCUAAGCUGCUCAGUCUGAACAGUCUGAAGCAGGCCCACAUCCCACACCUGGGAAUAAAACGAAAACAUACUCUUAUACUA
This is a long non-coding RNA of Mastomys coucha (southern multimammate mouse), 771 nucleotides long. RefSeq lists it as uncharacterized. The record is from RefSeq and is a predicted model, not a curated record. The transcript has 4 exons. Lineage: Eukaryota; Metazoa; Chordata; Mammalia; Rodentia; Muridae.